AAAUUGAAGAGUUUGAUCAUGGCUCAGAUUGAACGCUGGCGGCAGGCCUAACACAUGCAAGUCGAACGGUAACAGGAAGCAGCUUGCUGCUUUGCUGACGAGUGGCGGACGGGUGAGUAAUGUCUGGGAAACUGCCUGAUGGAGGGGGAUAACUACUGGAAACGGUGGCUAAUACCGCAUAACGUUGCAAGACCAAAGAGGGGGACCUUCGGGCCUCUUGCCAUCAGAUGUGCCCAGAUGGGAUUAGCU
RNAcentral lists this ribosomal RNA (249 nucleotides) under Salmonella enterica. Its description in RNAcentral is "partial 16S ribosomal RNA". It matches the Rfam family "Bacterial small subunit ribosomal RNA", at positions 1 to 246 of the family's 1533-position model. RNAcentral also lists the same sequence under 1 other name. The record is from RNAcentral. Lineage: Bacteria; Pseudomonadati; Pseudomonadota; Gammaproteobacteria; Enterobacterales; Enterobacteriaceae.